This 24-nucleotide non-coding RNA is filed under the name Rattus norvegicus (Norway rat). Lineage: Eukaryota; Metazoa; Chordata; Mammalia; Rodentia; Muridae. The record is from RNAcentral.
GUUUUAGGAGACCAAAGUCCCUGC